CCUACGGGAGGCUGCAGCGGGGAAUAUUGCACAAUGGGCGCAAGCCUGAUGCAGCCAUGCCGCGUGUGUGAAGAAGGCCUUCGGGUUGUAAAGCACUUUCAGCGGGGAGGAAGGCGUUAAGGUUAAUAACCUUGGCGAUUGACGUUACCCGCAGAAGAAGCACCGGCUAACUCCGUGCCAGCAGCCGCGGUAAUACGGAGGGUGCAAGCGUUAAUCGGAAUUACUGGGCGUAAAGCGGACGCAGGCGGUCUGUCAAGUCGGAUGUGAAAUCCCCGGGCUCAACCUGGGAACUGCAUUCGAAACUGGCAGGCUAGAGUCUUGUAGAGGGGGGUAGAAUUCCAGGUGUAGCGGUGAAAUGCGUAGAGAUCUGGAGGAAUACCGGUGGCGAAGGCGGCCCCCUGGACAAAGACUGACGCUCAGGUGCGAAAGCGUGGGGAGCAAACAGGAUUAGAUACCCGAGUAGUC
Molecule: ribosomal RNA, 465 nt
Filed under: uncultured Klebsiella sp.
Lineage: Bacteria; Pseudomonadati; Pseudomonadota; Gammaproteobacteria; Enterobacterales; Enterobacteriaceae
Description: bacterial SSU rRNA
Rfam family: Bacterial small subunit ribosomal RNA
Source: RNAcentral